AUGAUGCCCAUAUCUUUUGCAGGAAGUCCCAAGUGAAAGAUGAAGUAAAGGGUGUCUUACAUUUCAUCCAGUAUACUUAUAAUAUUUUUGGCUUUGGCUUCUCUUUCGACCUGAAGCUAUCAACAGUAAGAUUCUUAUUACCUGUGCUUAAAGCUUCAGACCUCUUGCCUUCAUCUUAACUUGCAAAAGUCAUAUGAUGGUUUUAUAAUAUAUUAGAUGAUACAUAAUACUGUUAUGAUUAUUUGGUAUAUUCUAAUAUAGCAGUAAGUAUACCGUGCUGAAUUUCUAAUAAAACAAAGCUAAUCUUAAUCUUAUUUGGUGUAUAGAUAGCAGGGAUAACUAAGUAUUGUCAUUGGGGAGACUAAUGGUGCACUAUCUUUCGAUGGGUUUGUUUUUUUAUACUAAUUGCCUGCUUAUCAUCGUGGACAUAGGCGUUUAAUCUUAGGACUUUCCGCAUAUCGUAGCCGACAUUAUUUUUCCAUUCUAACAUUAACUAACGUUACCACCAUGUAUCUAUUAUGAAAAGAUCAAAUCAACAUGCUAAGUGGAUCAGCCAUUUCCAUUGAAUAAUAUUUAAAUACUUGCAACGUUUGUUUUAUAUUGGGUUUGGUUUCAGCAGACGGUGGUUUUUCUUAUUUUGAGGCUUUUGUUUCCAGGCUGCCCUGUGUACUCAAGAAUUAAAAAAUGGUUAUAAUUGGAAUAUUACGCUUAAUCUUCUUUU
This 721-nucleotide small RNA is filed under the name Malus domestica (apple). Its description in RNAcentral is "sRNA MD17G0216300". Lineage: Eukaryota; Viridiplantae; Streptophyta; Magnoliopsida; Rosales; Rosaceae. The record is from RNAcentral.